This 21-nucleotide unclassified non-coding RNA is filed under the name Dictyostelium discoideum. The record is from RNAcentral. Lineage: Eukaryota; Evosea; Eumycetozoa; Dictyosteliales; Dictyosteliaceae.
GUGUAUCGUUCUUGAGAAGGU